RNAcentral lists this ribosomal RNA (305 nucleotides) under uncultured bacterium. RNAcentral's name for it is "bacterial SSU rRNA". It matches the Rfam family "Bacterial small subunit ribosomal RNA", at positions 337 to 657 of the family's 1533-position model. The record is from RNAcentral.
GCCUACGGGAGGCAGCAGUGGGGGAUAUUGCACAAUGGGGGAAACCCUGAUGCAGCGACGCCGCGUGGGCGAAGAAGUAUUUCGGUAUGUAAAGCCCUAUCAGCAGGGAAGAAGAAAUGACGGUACCUGACUAAGAAGCCCCGGCUAACUACGUGCCAGCAGCCGCGGUAAUACGUAGGGGGCAAGCGUUAUCCGGAUUUACUGGGUGUAAAGGGAGCGUAGACGGCGAUGCAAGUCUGAAGUGAAAGGCGGGGGCCCAACCCCCGGACUGCUUUGGAAACUGUAUAGCUGGAGUGCAGGAGAGG